GUGUUCACUAUGACCACACAAACAUUAAAACUGAAACAAUGCAUGAAAGUUUAGCAUGACCCUUGUGCAAGGAUAAAAGAAAUGUGGGAAGGAACCCAUAAUUUU
This is a small nuclear RNA of Grammomys surdaster, 105 nucleotides long. The record is from RefSeq and is a predicted model, not a curated record. Lineage: Eukaryota; Metazoa; Chordata; Mammalia; Rodentia; Muridae.